GAUGAACGCUGGCGGCGUGCCUAACACAUGCAAGUCGAACGGAAAGGCUCCUGCUUGCAGGGGUACUCGAGUGGCGAACGGGUGAGUAACACGUGGGUGAUCUGCCCUGCACUUCGGGAUAAGCCUGGGAAACUGGGUCUAAUACCGGAUAGGACCACAUUUUGGAUGGUGUGGUGGAAAGUUUUUCGGUGUGGGAUGAGCUCGCGGCCUAUCAGCUUGUUGGUGGGGUAAUGGCCUACCAAGGCGUCGACGGGUAGCCGGCCUGAGAGGGUGUACGGCCACAUUGGGACUGAGAUACGGCCCAGACUCCUACGGGAGGCAGCAGUGGGGAAUAUUGCACAAUGGGCGCAAGCCUGAUGCAGCGACGCCGCGUGGGGGAUGACGGCCUUCGGGUUGUAAACUCCUUUCGCUAGGGACGAAGCGCAAGUGACGGUACCUGGAGAAGAAGCACCGGCUAACUACGUG
This 465-nucleotide ribosomal RNA is filed under the name uncultured bacterium. RNAcentral describes it as "partial 16S ribosomal RNA". It matches the Rfam family "Bacterial small subunit ribosomal RNA", at positions 28 to 507 of the family's 1533-position model. The record is from RNAcentral.